RNAcentral lists this non-coding RNA (53 nucleotides) under unclassified sequences. RNAcentral's name for it is "leuA-Halobacteria RNA". It matches the Rfam family "leuA-Halobacteria RNA". The record is from RNAcentral.
GGAUUCCGAGGAUAGAGGAAGUCGGGGCAACCCGGCUGGGCGCGAAAUUCUCG